Molecule: ribosomal RNA, 441 nt
Filed under: uncultured bacterium
Lineage: Bacteria
Description: SSU rRNA
Rfam family: Bacterial small subunit ribosomal RNA
Source: RNAcentral
AGAACGAACGCUGGCGGCAGGCUUAACACAUGCAAGUCGAGCGCCCAGCAAUGGGAGCGGCGGACGGGUGCGUAACACGUGGGAACAUGCCUUUCGGUACGGAACAACUGCGGGAAACUGCAGCUAAUGCCGUAUACGCCCUUACGGGGAAAGAUUUAUCGCCGAAAGAUUGGCCCGCGUCUGAUUAGCUAGUUGGUGAGGUAACGGCUCACCAAGGCUUCGAUCAGUAGCUGGUUUGAGAGAACGACCAGCCACACUGGGACUGAGACACGGCCCAGACUCCUACGGGAGGCAGCAGUGGGGAAUCUGACAAUGGGCGAAAGCCUGAUCCAGCCAUGCCGCGUGAGUGAUGAAGGCCUUCGGGUUGUAAAACUCUUUACCUGGGAAGAUAAUGACUGUACCAGGAGAAUAAGCCCGGACUAACUUCGUGCCAGCAGCCGC